Molecule: long non-coding RNA, 813 nt
Organism: Neodiprion fabricii
Lineage: Eukaryota; Metazoa; Arthropoda; Insecta; Hymenoptera; Diprionidae
Exons: 2
Source: RefSeq, a predicted model, not a curated record
UAUAUUUUCUCUUGCGAGUCGCACGUAGCUGAUUUUUUCGAUCGACCUAAAAAGCGAAAAUUCGCAGGCAACCGACACACUUUUGAACAAGACAAGUCGUUUACAUCGGCGUCAGCGACGAAACUUCGUCAAAAUAAAAAUUUUGAAGUGAACGUUGAACAGACUGUUUUGUAUUGUAUUUUGAAUUUUGUGAGUGUAUUUUCAACCAUUUCUUCGGCUGUUAUUUGUAAAGAGUGCAAAAGUACGGUGACUUUCCAUCAACGUGAUAUACGAGGAUUGGGCUUUAAAAUUUCUAUGGCGUGCAAGUGUGAGAAAGAAAAAGAAAUAGAUUCAUGCCCAAAAAUCUGGACUUUUGCUCCGAAGCACCUCCAUUCUGGGCCAAAAGUGGUUGAAAUCGCCACGUUUCUCGCUGUCAUAAUCUUCAACGAAGGAUUCGAAGCUAUCCUGAAGACCUUGGAAACCAUGGGAGUGAAAAUCGGCCCACAAGCUAAAGGAUAUGUUCAACAGCGUGAUAGCUCUCGGAUCGACCGUUCAGAAAGGCGCACGAGCGAUGUUGUAGAACAGGCCCGAAUCGCGAAAAGAGAAGACAGAGCAGCUCUGCGUGACUUCGAAGAAGAAGAGGAAGGCCUAUUGUAUGGUCCAGGCAUGGCAGAUUGACGAUAAGCAGAACAGCCACAAUCUUGGUUACCGUCAAGCACCUCUUUUACUUGAUGUCUUCCUGUCGGCCACUAUAACUGCUAUUCUAUUAUAUAUUUUGACUUCAAAAAAUUUGUAAAGCUUAUUUAAAUGUUAAUAAAGAUUAUGCAAAAAUAA